Molecule: ribosomal RNA, 452 nt
Filed under: uncultured bacterium
Lineage: Bacteria
Description: bacterial SSU rRNA
Rfam family: Bacterial small subunit ribosomal RNA
Source: RNAcentral
ACCAGACUCCUACGGGAGGCAGCAGUGGGGGAUAUUGGACAAUGGGGGAAACCCUGAUCCAGCGACGCCGCGUGAGUGAAGAAGUAUUUCGGUAUGUAAAGCUCUGUCAGCAGGGAAGAAAGAAAUGACGGUACCUGACCAAGAAGCCCCGGCUAACUACGUGCCAGCAGCCGCGGUCAUACGUAGGAUCCGAGCAUUAUCCGGAGUGACUGGGUGUAAAGAGUUGCGUAGGUGGCAUAGUAAGUAGCUAGUGAAAUCUGGUGGCUCAACCAUUCAGACUAUUAGCUAAACUGCUAAGCUCGAGACCGUUAGGGGUAACUGGAAUUUCUAGUGUAGGAGUGAAAUCCGUAGAUAUUAGAAGGAACACCGAUAGCGUAGGCAGGUUACUGGGACGGUUCUGACACUAAGGCACGAAAGCGUAGGGAGCAAACGGGAUUAGAUACCCCCGUAAC